RNAcentral lists this ribosomal RNA (378 nucleotides) under Triticum aestivum (bread wheat). RNAcentral describes it as "partial small subunit ribosomal RNA". Lineage: Eukaryota; Viridiplantae; Streptophyta; Magnoliopsida; Poales; Poaceae. The record is from RNAcentral.
AUGUCAUUCGUGGCGGCCAUCCCCGGCUCCCCGAUGGCUACAAGGGCACCCCAAGCCCAUCCUCCCUCCCCCGGUCGAACCCUAGCCGCCUCUCCUUCCUCUCCAUCGUGCCGUGACCUCCUCUGCUCGCACCGCCCGAGCGACACCGUCGCCAUGCCGCCUCCACAGACGCGGCCACCGGCCUCCCCAAGCCCUGAGACCGCGACCAGGAGGACAGCCACCUUCGACUUCGUCCAUCCCGCGCAUCAAAUCAAGCGGAGCCGCACCGAAUCGCCGCCAUCGAGUUCGUCUUCGACCUCCUGCACCGCCGGCCGUCAUCGUCGAUUCGCUCAACCCCGACCGUCCCCGGCCUCCCCAACCACGUUCGCGGCUCCUUGA